GACGAACGCUGGCGGCGUGCUUGACACAUGCAAGUCGAACGGAAAGGCCUGCUUUCCCUUGUGGAUUGCGGGUACUCGAGUGGCGAACGGGUGAGUAACACGUGAGUGAUCUGCCCCCAACUUGGGUAUAAGCCUGGGAAACUGGGUCUAAUUCCCGAUAGGACUGCAGGGUGGUGCCUGUGGUGGAAAACGAUUUUCUAGUGGUUGGGGAUGAGCUCGCGGCCUAUCAGCUUGUUGGUGGGGUAAUGGCCUACCAAGGCGGCGACGGGUAGCCGGCCUGAGAGGGUGGACGGCCACAUUGGGACUGAGAUACGGCCCAGACUCCUACGGGAGGCAGCAGUGGGGAAUAUUGCACAAUGGGCGGAAGCCCGAUGCAGCGACGCCGCGUGGGGGAUGACGGCCUUCGGGUUGUAAACUCCUUUCGACCGCGAGGAAGCCACCUGGUUGGAAGGGUGGUGACGGUAGUGGUAGAAGAAGCACCGGCUAACUACGUG
RNAcentral lists this ribosomal RNA (494 nucleotides) under uncultured bacterium. RNAcentral's name for it is "partial 16S ribosomal RNA". It matches the Rfam family "Bacterial small subunit ribosomal RNA", at positions 28 to 507 of the family's 1533-position model. The record is from RNAcentral.